GAUCAUGGCUCAGGAUGAACGCUGGCGGCAUGCCUAACACAUGCAAGUCGAACGGAGCUAUGAUGGAGCUUGCUUUUUAUGGCUUAGUGGCGGACGGGUGAGUAACGCGUGAGGAAUCUGCCCUCGAGUGGGGAAUAACACCGAGAAAUCGGUGCUAAUACCGCAUAACGUCUUCGGAUCGCAUGUUCUGAAGACCAAAGGAUUUAUUCGCUUGAGGAUGAUCUCGCGUCCGAUUAGUUAGUUGGUGAGGUAACGGCUCACCAAGACCGCGAUCGGUAGCCGAACUGAGAGGUUGAUCGGCCACAUUGGGACUGAGACACGGCCCAGACUCCUACGGGAGGCAGCAGUGGGGAAUAUUGGGCAAUGGGCGAAAGCCCUGACCCAGCAAUGCCGCGUGAAGGAUGAAGGCCUUCGGGUUGUAAACUUCUUUGAUUGGGGAAGAACAAAGUGACCUACCCAAAGAACAAGUCACGGCUAACUACGUGCCAGCCGCCGC
RNAcentral lists this ribosomal RNA (496 nucleotides) under uncultured bacterium. RNAcentral's name for it is "bacterial SSU rRNA". It matches the Rfam family "Bacterial small subunit ribosomal RNA", at positions 15 to 518 of the family's 1533-position model. The record is from RNAcentral.